Molecule: non-coding RNA, 239 nt
Organism: Cyanistes caeruleus (blue tit)
Lineage: Eukaryota; Metazoa; Chordata; Aves; Passeriformes; Paridae
Source: RefSeq, a predicted model, not a curated record
UAACAAUAUUAGUGUUUCUUACACAGAAAUACGAUGGCCAUCUUCCCAUAGAAAUAAAGGCUGUUCCUGAGGGCUCUGUGAUUCCCAGAGGAAAUGUUCUUUUCACAGUAGAAAACACAGAUCCAGAGUGCUACUGGCUCACAAAUUGGAUUGAGACUAUUCUUGUGCAGUCAUGGUACCCAAUCACAGUGGCUACAAACUCUAGAGAGCAGAAAAAGAUUUUGGCCAAAUAUUUGCUG